CGUUGACCUCGGAUCAGGUAGGAAUACCCGCUGAACUUAAGCAUAUCAAUAAGCGGAGGAAAAGAAACCAACAGGGAUUGCCUCAGUAACGGCGAGUGAAGCGGCAACAGCUCAAAUUUGAAAUCUGGCCCCAGGCCCGAGUUGUAAUUUGCAGAGGAUGCUUUUGGCGCGGUGCCUUCCGAGUUCCCUGGAACGGGACGCCAUAGAGGGUGAGAGCCCCGUCUGGUUGGACACCAAGCCUCUGUAAAGCUCCUUCGACGAGUCGAGUAGUUUGGGAAUGCUGCUCAAAAUGGGAGGUAUAUGUCUUCUAAAGCUAAAUACCGGCCAGAGACCGAUAGCGCACAAGUAGAGUGAUCGAAAGAUGAAAAGCACUUUGGAAAGAGAGUUAAACAGCACGUGAAAUUGUUAAAAGGGAAGCGUUUAUGACCAGACUUGGGCCGGUUAAUCAUCCAGCGUUCUCGCUGGUGCACUUUGCCGGUCCAGGCCAGCAUCAGUUCGCUGCGGGGGAUAAAGGCGUCGGGAAUGUGGCUCCUCGGAGUGUUAUAGCCCUUCGCGCAAUACCCUGCGGUGGACUGAGGUUCGCGCUCUGCAAGGAUGCUGGCGUAAUGGUCAUCAACGACCCGUCUUGAAACACGGACCAAGGAGUCGUCUUCGUAUGCGAGUGUUCGGGUGUAAAACCCCUACGCGUAAUGAAAGUGAACGCAGGUGAGAGCUUCGGCGCAUCAUCGACCGAUCCUGAUGUUCUCGGAUGGAUUUGAGUAAGAGCAUACGGGGCCGGACCCGAAAGAAGGUGAACUAUGCCUGUAUAGGGUGAAGCCAGAGGAAACUCUGGUGGAGGCUCGCAGCGGUUCUGACGUGCAAAUCGAUCG
Molecule: ribosomal RNA, 869 nt
Filed under: Stachybotrys subcylindrosporus
Lineage: Eukaryota; Fungi; Ascomycota; Sordariomycetes; Hypocreales; Stachybotryaceae
Description: eukaryotic LSU rRNA
Rfam family: Eukaryotic large subunit ribosomal RNA
Source: RNAcentral